This 1035-nucleotide ribosomal RNA is filed under the name Triticum aestivum (bread wheat). RNAcentral's name for it is "partial small subunit ribosomal RNA". The record is from RNAcentral. Lineage: Eukaryota; Viridiplantae; Streptophyta; Magnoliopsida; Poales; Poaceae.
AUGAUUGUGCAGGUUACAUUCAGUAUGACCGAAAUGAUGGAAACACCAGACCCAAAUUCUCCAGCAGUAUCAGUGUUGCAAUUGCUUUGCUGUGAUUGGAGUGGGUAUUUCACCCUCUUUAGAGAAACCCCCGACUACUCACAGGAUCCUAAGAAGAGGUAUGAGAAAGGUGGUUUCCUGACAUUUGCUGGAAUGACAAAGAAGAUGCAGUUCCCAGAUAUUUUUGGACCCAUCACCGAGUUGCAGCAAUAUAAAGAAUCAUACACAGAUGUGACAAAGGUUGAAAUAUUCAAGGGCUUUCUUAAGAGAAUGACCUACGAAUGCCCGCGCUUCCCUGAAAGUGAGGACUUUGUGGUUGAGAACUGUGAGUUGCCUCGUUCUCAUCUGAAAAUGGUGACCCCAAGGCUGAGUGAAUUGAUCCGUGAAUGGUCGAAAUUAUCAAAACUGGCGUUCAUGUUUUUUAUUGCUAUUAUCGAGUUCGACAUGGAGUUUAGGGAGAGUCGUGUUAGUUUUGACGAAGCUAGAAAGGAGAUGCACAGUCAAAUUGAUAUGAGGGGGGGUGAUCUAGUGCUGAAUUUUUGCGGAUCAGAUGGAAACUUCAACUUGAGAACCUUGUUGGGAGGUUAUCUUCGUCUGCUAAAAUGUGAAAAGGAGGACAUUAUUAGGAUCAUCAUGCGGACUAAGCAUCAAGUCACUAACAUUAUCCAUGAGCACAAACCAAAACUUGAAGAGCAAGACCUGACAAAGAUGACAGCAGCCAAGAGGAGUAUAGCAGAGCGCAGGAAAGCUGAAAACAAUGCUGAGUAUGCUCGCUGGGAGAGAAUCAGGGAUGAGGAUGGGCAGAAGCUGGAGAGGAUGAGGAAGAGGCUGGGUCUGAGAAGUGUGAUGACCAGUGAUGUGAAGAUGACAGAAGUUGUUUUCUGGAGGUGCUCUGACAUUAGAAGUUUGCCUUAUCCAAAAACGCCGUGUUCAGUUGUUGGGUGCCUUUUGGUUCGUCCAUCAUGGAGAAGAUUUCACCCGGAGCAAGAAAGGUGA